GACGAACGCUGGCGGCGUGCUUAACACAUGCAAGUCGAACGGAAAGGCCUCUUUCGGGGGGUACUCGAGUGGCGAACGGGUGAGUAACACGUGAGUAACCUGCCCUUGACUUUGGGAUAACUUCAGGAAACUGGGGCUAAUACCGGAUAGGAGCUCCUGCUGCAUGGUGGGGGUUGGAAAGUUUCGGCGGUUGGGGAUGGACUCGCGGCUUAUCAGCUUGUUGGUGGGGUAGUGGCUUACCAAGGCUUUGACGGGUAGCCGGCCUGAGAGGGUGGCCGGCCAGGAUGGGAAUGAGAUACAACCGGGACGCACGCGUGAUGCAGCAGUGGGGAGUGUGGCAGAACGGGCGGAGGCCUGAUGACCCGUCGCGGUGUGCGGGAUGAUGGGGUUGAGGUUGGAAACUAAGUACGCCCAUGACGAAGAGUUGCGAGACGGUGGUGGGUAAAAAGGAAAAGCACACCUCGACA
This 467-nucleotide ribosomal RNA is filed under the name uncultured bacterium. Its description in RNAcentral is "partial 16S ribosomal RNA". It matches the Rfam family "Bacterial small subunit ribosomal RNA", at positions 28 to 508 of the family's 1533-position model. The record is from RNAcentral.